UCUGUUGAGCCGACCCUAAUUUGGCUGUGGUGGACUCCAGUUCAGUCGUCGCGUGGGAGAUCCCCUGCUAGAGGCUCUUCUCCUGCUCCAUCGCUGCCUGCUCCCGAUCAAUUGCUGUUUGAAGCUUUUCGACGACUGCUGCUUUCUCAACAUUUGCAACUGCAACUCUAUCAAUCCAGGCUUGAUGAAGCUCGGCAAAUUUUCAAUAUAUGCUCUCCAGAGCGUACAUAGCAUGUGCCAACUGAAAAGAAAAAACAAGUCAGAUUUUAAAAAAAAAGAAAGAAGAAGUAUCGUCAACUUACCCUAAGAAUCGUCAGAUAGAAAGAAGAAAACAUCUCGAACAUGAUCUGAUCUUUUCUAUUCUCCCUGUCAGUCAGAAGAAGACCUAUCUCGAUGAGUCAUUUGGCCAACGUCGAAUUGGCCAAAGCUGACUCAUCAAUCGAAAUUCGGAUGUCGAAGAGGGUGGGGAGAUCCACCGACGAUCCAUUAUCGACAGAAGUAGCCGACGCCUUUUCUCUCUCUCCAGUCGGCAGUCGUUCGCUCGAAACCACCAUGAAGUCGGAGCUCGACUGUGUUCGAGACCACGCCACUUGAGGAAUGGUCUGUGUGGCAGCAGAUAGCUCUAGUUCGAUCGUGAC
Molecule: long non-coding RNA, 638 nt
Filed under: Elaeis guineensis (African oil palm)
Lineage: Eukaryota; Viridiplantae; Streptophyta; Magnoliopsida; Arecales; Arecaceae
Description: long non-coding RNA (EGUI_LNC041743)
Source: RNAcentral